GAUAUUUUGCUUGUUGUGGUUAAAAAGCUCGUAGUUGGAUCUCGGCGGUCUGAGGGCGGUUCGCUUGAUUGAGUGCUACUGCUCUAUAGGCCGUGGUUUUGCCAGAGGUCUCGGGGUGCUCUUAACCGAGUGUCCUGCGAUGCUGGCAGGUUUACUUUGAAAAAAUUAGAGUGCUCAAAGCAGGCUUUUACGCCUGAAUAUUCGUGCAUGGAAUAAUAGAAUAGGAAGUCGUUUCUAUUUUGUUGGUUUUCGGAAAUCGACUUAAUGAUUAAUAGGGACAGUCGGGGGCAUUUGUAUUCAAACGACAGAGGUGAAAUUCUUGGACCGUUUGAAGACAAACUACUGCGAAAGCAUUUGCCAAGAAUGUUUUCAUUAAUCAAGAACGAAAGUUAGAGGUUCGAAGGCGAUUAGAUACCGCCCUAGUUCUAACCAUAAACGAUGCCAGCUAGCGAUCUGCCGACGUUUUCUUUGUAGACUCGGCAGGAAGCUUCCGGGAAACCAAAGCAUUUGGGUUCCAGGGGAAGUAUGGUUGCAAAGCUGAAACUUAAAGGAAUUGACGGAAGGGCACCACCAGGAGUGGAGCCUGUGGCUUAAUUUGACUCAACACGGGAAAUCUCACCA
Molecule: ribosomal RNA, 621 nt
Filed under: uncultured marine eukaryote
Lineage: Eukaryota
Description: SSU rRNA
Rfam family: Eukaryotic small subunit ribosomal RNA
Source: RNAcentral